This is a long non-coding RNA of Alligator mississippiensis (American alligator), 2198 nucleotides long. RefSeq lists it as uncharacterized. The transcript is spliced from 2 exons. The record is from RefSeq and is a predicted model, not a curated record. Lineage: Eukaryota; Metazoa; Chordata; Crocodylia; Alligatoridae.
UCACCAUUCCUAACCCCGCUCCUCUGGGAAACCCGGUUCUGAGCGACCACCUUUCGGCUUAAACAACGCGGCUCUCGAGAACCAAUGGCGUCUAAUAGAAAACAACCCACCCAAACCACUUUUCCCUCCAAGCAGUGCUGGGUCCUCGUGUGUUGGUUUGCUGUGAAGGGCGCAUGCGUUUCUGUCUCCAGUGACACAAUCUGUUUCACUUCUUCCACUUCGUGUCUGACACGCAGCGGCCUGGCUGAGGAUCCAGCAUGACUAAUACCACCAAAACAAAACAAAUGGAAAAGUUACAACAGUGGAAGCGGUCAUUUGACACCCUGCAGGGAUCACGUUCACCGCAAAUGCACAGUGGGAUGGCUUACACAGCAUCAGGACUAAAUAAAAUGCAAACUGAUAGUCGCCCCCUUUGAGAACGGAAGGUGGGAUCGGUAAUUUGUUCCAUGUAGAAAAUGAGCGCUACAGAUAUUAGGACUCGGGGCAUUUUCUGGGUCCUGAUCAUUUUGCUUCUCAUGUGAUUUCACACAACCUGGCCUCCAGUUGUUUUUGAACAAGAAGAUAAACGCCACAAAAACAUGAACUGCGUAAUUGCUUUAUUUCAUCAGGAGUCUCAUUAAGUGAUACUAGCAGAGGCAAAGCAUUUCUUUAUUUUAAAACCAUAUGUGGUCCUGUUGUUGUUUGUGUUGGCUUGCUUUAUUAUUAGCUGGAGCAUUUUAUUUUAUAAUGCAACUGGCAAAAUAAGGGAGAACCUAGAAAAGACCAAUGGUUCAGGCUCCCUUUGGUGUGUUAAAAGACAAAGCCCCGCACAGCCCAGAGGGUGUAAUUUGCUUCAGAGGACAGUUGCUUAGAGCCUGUGAUUUUAAUGGUUGUCCUAUACCUGGUCAUUUUGUCAAGUACCAAAUCAAGUGCAGUUAAACUAAACAUUAUCCUCUUAUUCUCUGGGAGAAAAGCAUUUUGUUUAAGCCAUUCAGAUAGAGAUCAUUGUCACAUCUGGGGGCGUGGAGUUGAAUUUGGGCACUCUUUAGUAGACAUUUUAACUCUUAAAGACUUGGGCGUAUUUGGAUAAUGUCAUGCUUUCUUUAAGAAGAAUAUUCAAAUACUUGGUUUAGAAAAAAAAAAUCCUGAAUUUGCUGCAAAAAAUCUGUUGUUGGGCCCUAUUUUGAUCCCAGGGAGUCCCUCCACUGAUGAACUAUCUCUGCUGUUAAUCAGAAAUAUAGUUGACAGGGGAGCUGCGCACAGGAAAAAAGAUUAAAAAUCAAAUCCUGUUAUCUCUUUUCUCCCUCUCAUCUUCCACGGCCUGAUCUUACAGCCUUAAAAAUAUUGGGAGUUUUACCGCUGUUUUCAGUGGAAAGAGGAUUGGAUCCUUAUUACGAUUACCACCACACCUUCCCUCCCCAAACAACAAACAAUAUAGUGUUCUGUGCAUCUAGAACUUAUUGCAGGAUCGUGUGUAGACAAGCAACGUGGCGUGUGUACACAACACUUUAAAGUGGGCUAAUUGCUUUUGCACCACUUCAAUGGUGUCAGUGUUUGCACGCCUUCACGGUGUAUUCCACAUUAAUUCCAGCUACUGUAGGAAAUUUGGCAGCGUAAUGCACCUUAAAUGACUUGAGAAGCAGGAAACUAAAACUGCUCAAAGGAGUUCUGGUUUGCUGCCCCUACAGCUAUGGAGUGAAGCCUCUGCCGCGACUCUGCAGGAAGCCCUGCAGGCAGCCUGGCAGCAGCCCAGGAAAGCAGCUCCACCCCAGAAAGCAGGGAGCCUGAUUUUCCCCCUAUCCCCAUCCCUGAAGCCUGCCUGGCUGCCUGAGCUGUAUGGGGGCCCAGUGCUUCCCUCUGCAGCUGUGGUGCCCCCUGGGACUGCCUGAGCUGGAUGCCUGCAGGAGGGUGCCACCUAGGAGAGCACCAGCCCUCCCCCUGCAGCCCAGGGACUGCUCCACCUGCCAGCAGCUCACCCUCUCCUCCCCUCCCCCGGAAAGGCAGGUAAUUGCAGGGUGUGUGCCGGACACGGGGGUUUAAAAACCCACCACUUCAAUUUAGGGCCCCCUAAUCUAUGCAUGACCUAGAAGAGCCCCCUCUGUUUCUCAAAGCUUACUUCCCUGCUCCACUGAAGUUAAAAAAUGGAAUCAUUUACAAAAUAACUGCAUCUUGACAAACAGAAAUAUUUUUUUUGCCAAUAAAUAUGUUGCUUCUCUUAA